AAGAUUAUACCUUCAGGGAUCAUUUCUACAGUUUAUUCCUGGAGAAGUUUCUUUGAAUGUAUAGAGCACUAAAAAACAUAUUAUCUCCCAAGUGUAAAGCUGCCUCUUGGUGUUGGUUUACUCAAUUGCCAUUUGCCAUUAAUGAUUGUUCUUCUUUUCUUUUGGGAGAGUAAGAGACAGAGGACACAGUCUGGGU
Molecule: small nucleolar RNA, 196 nt
Filed under: Cercocebus atys (sooty mangabey)
Lineage: Eukaryota; Metazoa; Chordata; Mammalia; Primates; Cercopithecidae
Description: Small nucleolar RNA U3 (ENSCATG00000001122.1)
Rfam family: Small nucleolar RNA U3
About the family: Small nucleolar RNAs (snoRNAs) are involved in the processing and modification of rRNA in the nucleolus. There are two main classes of snoRNAs: the box C/D class, and the box H/ACA class.
Source: RNAcentral